CUCAUAUUGUGUAAAUAACACACACGUAUCGACACAUCCGCCGGGGUGCCUAAGAUGAGAACAUCAUUCCUGGGUCGGCGUUAUGGGAUACGUGGAGGCAUAAC
This 104-nucleotide small RNA is filed under the name Chania multitudinisentens RB-25. Its description in RNAcentral is "t44 RNA". It matches the Rfam family "t44 RNA". From Rfam's summary of the family: This family consists of a number of bacterial RNA genes of between 135 and 170 bases in length. The record is from Rfam by way of RNAcentral. Lineage: Bacteria; Pseudomonadati; Pseudomonadota; Gammaproteobacteria; Enterobacterales; Yersiniaceae.